GACGAACGCUGGCGGCGUGCUUAACACAUGCAAGUCGAACGGAAAGGCCCUGCUUUUGUGGGGUGCUCGAGUGGCGAACGGGUGAGUAACACGUGAGUAACCUGCCCUUGACUUUGGGAUAACUUCAGGAAACUGGGGCUAAUACCUGAUAGGAGCUCCUGCUGCAUGGUGGGGGUUGGAAAGUUUCGGCGGUUGGGGAUGGACUCGCGGCUUAUCAGCUUCUUGGUGGGGUAGUGGCUUACCAAGGCUUUGACGGGUAGCCGGCAUGAGAGGGUUAACGGCCAAAUUGGGACUGAGAUACGGCCCAGACUCCUACGGGAGGCAGCAGUGGGGAAUAGUGCACAAUGGGCGGAAGCCUGAUGCAGCAACGCCGCGUGCGGGAUGACGGCCUUCGGGUUGUAAACCGCUUUAGCCUGUGACGAAGCGUGAGUGACGGUAAUGGGUAAAGAAGCACCGGCUAACUACGUG
Molecule: ribosomal RNA, 468 nt
Filed under: uncultured bacterium
Lineage: Bacteria
Description: partial 16S ribosomal RNA
Rfam family: Bacterial small subunit ribosomal RNA
Source: RNAcentral